This is a transfer RNA of Camelus ferus (Wild Bactrian camel), 73 nucleotides long. It matches the Rfam family "tRNA". From Rfam's summary of the family: Transfer RNA (tRNA) molecules are approximately 80 nucleotides in length. The record is from Rfam. NCBI's taxonomy places the organism in Eukaryota, Metazoa, Chordata, Mammalia, Artiodactyla, Camelidae.
GAGGGUGUAGCUCAAGUGGUAGAGCAGGUGCUUAGCAUACAAAAGGUCCAGGGUUCAAUCCCCAGCACCUCCU